UACGUAUGGUGCAAGCGUUAUCCGGAUUUACUGGGUGUAAAGGGAGCGCAGGCGGCGCGUUAAGCCUGGUGUGAAAGCCCGCGGCCCAACCGCGGGACUGCAUUGGGAACUGGCGCGCUGGAGUACAGGAGGGGCAGGCGGAAUUCCUGGUGUAGCGGUGAAAUGCGUAGAUAUCAGGAGGAACACCGGCGGCGAAGGCGGCCUGCUGGACUGAAACUGACGUUGAGGCUCGAAAGCGUGGGGAGCAAACAGG
RNAcentral lists this ribosomal RNA (253 nucleotides) under uncultured Eubacteriales bacterium. RNAcentral's name for it is "uncultured Clostridiales bacterium partial 16S ribosomal RNA". It matches the Rfam family "Bacterial small subunit ribosomal RNA", at positions 524 to 776 of the family's 1533-position model. The record is from RNAcentral. Lineage: Bacteria; Bacillati; Bacillota; Clostridia; Eubacteriales.